RNAcentral lists this ribosomal RNA (254 nucleotides) under uncultured bacterium. RNAcentral's name for it is "partial 16S ribosomal RNA". It matches the Rfam family "Bacterial small subunit ribosomal RNA", at positions 524 to 776 of the family's 1533-position model. The record is from RNAcentral.
UACAGAGGUCUCAAGCGUUGUUCGGAUUCAUUGGGCGUAAAGGGUGCGUAGGCGGCGCGGUAAGUCGGGUGUGAAAUCUUGGAGCUUAACUCCGAAACUGCAUUCGAUACUGCCGUGCUUGAGGACUGGAGAGGAGACUGGAAUUUACGGUGUAGCGGUGAAAUGCGUAGAUAUCGUAAGGAAGACCAGUGGCGAAGGCGGGGUCUCUGGACAGUUCCUGACGCUGAGGCACGAAGGCCAGGGGAGCAAACGGG